UGAUUUCAGAAUUAUUCUAAUAAAUGGAUUUUUUUUAUUCAGGUUGUGCCUGGUUUCCCCAUGCUGUGCUGUAGGGCAGUGUAGGCAGCAUCUCCCCACUGCUCACGUUACGGUUUCUGCAGCGUUGAAUAUACUGUGCCAAUGGGGAAUUUAAAGUGGUUCUAAAUGGUUUGGAAGACUUUUGCUGGAACUUGGGGGGUUUAAGUUAUUAGCACUUAGAGCUCAUAAAUAGUAUGGGUAUGUGCUAUCCUCCAGUCCAGCUGUCAACUCUUUUCCUGAUAUUUUUGUUUGGUUUUGGGGGUGGUAUAAGAAUAAGGGGGAAGUGGUUUUCUUAGCGUUCAUUCAACAGAGCGAUGUAAAAGUCUUAUUUUCCUGACUUCUCAGUGUCAUAAACAUCAGACAACAUUGGUAGCUUUGAGGGCCCUGAGAUCAUGGACGCGGAUAAACUCAUUAAUCAUGAACUUGAGUAGGUUGGCCAAUUUUUGUCAGCGCUGAUUUUAUGAAACCUUUGUAGCAUGGAGUAAUCGUUGAAGAAUAAUUCUAAGCUGCAAUCUUUCAGGCUUUAGGUUUUGUUGGUGAUGACUCUAUGACUGUAGAAGACCUGAAGGAAGAACGGAAGCCAAAUGGGUCAGCUCUGGUCUGCUUAGCCAAAGCACUCCUCACAUUGCUUU
RNAcentral lists this long non-coding RNA (671 nucleotides) under Gallus gallus (chicken). RNAcentral describes it as "long non-coding RNA NONGGAT009269". Lineage: Eukaryota; Metazoa; Chordata; Aves; Galliformes; Phasianidae. The record is from RNAcentral.